AUGGGAAAUGAGUGGCCGAAUGGUGCUGAAGAGAAAGGAAGGCUCGUGGGGGGACAAUUUGGUGUGUCAAGCUUGUGGCCUAGGCUUUCUAGUGCUUUGACUUGUGACUUGAGGAACUUUAGAUAGUUUGCAGCCUCAUCAAGCAUUGAUGCAGUGUCCAUCUUGCUCCCGCCAGGAACUAGCCUUUGCAAAACUCUUAUCCUCUCACUUAUUCUCUCCCUCCUUUGCCUUGCAGCCACAGUUUGUGGGUCAGUGGAUAUUCUCACAUUCUUCCUCUUGGGCUUCUCCACCACCUCCAUGCCUAAAUUCACAGGCCUGAAGGCUGCAGCUCUAUAUAUCAUCUCCUUCAUCUGAGCAAUGGCCUCCGAAUCGGGUUCCUCCGCAGAGGUUGUCGAUGAACUCGGCUGCUGGAAAUUGAUGUUGGAUGAAGAACUAGGCCUCUUUUCUGAUCUGGGUUUCUUUGCUUUUGGUGGAUUCUCAGAAAUAAGCCGGAAACCGCCUUCUGUAUUAGAAGAAUCCGAUUGAAGGAGAUUAAAAUAACGAUAAUCUCCAAUUGUUUUGGGCUUAUUUGGAUUGUUACCUCUCUUCAUCAAUGUAGGCUUAGUUUCUGAAGAGACUGCAUGGUUGAGAUGUGGAUUGGAAGAAGUUUGUGUGUGUGUUUCCUCAAGCUCCUUUAUUGGGCAAUGGACAUUGCCAUUUCUCAUUUUCGUGCCUUUAUUUUCGGACUCUCCAGAUGAUACAGUGCUGCCAGAACCAAAGCUCCAUAAGUUUCUGCAAUCAGAGAAGAUCAUGGAAAUCCCAUCGUCUUCCGCCGAUGUGUUUGUGUUGCUGUUAGUAGCCGAUAGCAAGCAGUCAAGGGACUCAAGAGAGCCAGCAGUUGAAACCGCAGCUUUUCCAUCUUGCAAGCCAUUAACAACUUUAGAUUGGUCUGGCAUGACAAAAUUUGUCAUUAAUCCACUCAGUGGAUUCAUGACAAAAGGCUUGUUCAUCAAUGAAGAACUCAAUUCAUGAGAACCUAAAGCCUCUCCCCAUUUGGUUCCCGGCCCUGAUUCUGCAACGACACUAUCUGCUCUAGACAACCUCACCCCUGCUUCUUGGUGCUGCCACAAAUUUGGGCUCGAAACAACGUUAAUCGAGUCUAAAGCCGGAGCUAACUGCCCAGCCAUUUCACCCACUCUGUCGGAACAUAUUUGGGUUUUGUGAAGCUCUUGAGUUGGAUCAGACAUUUCUGUGAAGCCCAUCUUGCCGCCAUAGGUACCACCGCUCGAGUUGGAAAGGAUGAAGCCUUCUUCAAUUCCAUGCUGCUGAUUGUACCACGACGACGGCGGGUUUGUCAUGACCGAUGGGGAAAGCUGUGACCUCCUUUUGGGCUGCUCAUGCUAUUCCACGCGCUCUGUAAAGUUUCAGACUUUCAGUAGACCGCAGUGAGAGUGAGCAUCUUUCACCAGUGUACCAUUCUUUUACCAAAAGAUUUCCAUUAAUCAUAGUCUUAAUCAUAACCAUUAUUGCUUCACUUUCUACUAUCGACUUUCUACUUGCUACUUUCUACUCUAGCUCUUUCAUCUAGUUGCUUUUAUAUAUAUAUAUAUAUAUAUAUAUGAAGCCACAGUGCCUUCAAGUGAUCCAACUUUGCCGAUCACACCCUCAUUUGUUUUUUUCCCCCAUUGUCCAUAUAUAUGGAACCUGCAAGGAUUGGAUUAUCU
Molecule: long non-coding RNA, 1703 nt
Organism: Malania oleifera
Lineage: Eukaryota; Viridiplantae; Streptophyta; Magnoliopsida; Santalales; Ximeniaceae
Exons: 2
Source: RefSeq, a predicted model, not a curated record